Small nucleolar RNA from Dipodomys ordii (Ord's kangaroo rat), 132 nucleotides. The record is from Ensembl. NCBI's taxonomy places the organism in Eukaryota, Metazoa, Chordata, Mammalia, Rodentia, Heteromyidae.
ACAUUGGUUGGAUUCAUGGCAGGCUCGUCCCUCUGAGCCUUUAUAGUGUCCCAUGUCAGAGCAAACUGUGGUUCGAAACUACUGCCAGGCCUCUACCUAUGGGCUACUGGCACUAAAGGGGGUUACACAGAU